UUCCAAGAUCGGAGGUGCGUCUAAGGAUGGAACCGGGGGCAUCGAUGAAGAAGACUUCAUCAAAUCUUUCACUGACGUCCCCACAGUACAGAUCUACUCAUCUCGUGACCUGGAGGAUAACCUGAAUAAGAUCAGAGAGAUCUGUUCUGAUGAUAAACAUGACUGGGACCAGAGAGCCGCUGCAAUGAAGAAGAUCCGCUCGCUGAUUGUUGCCGGGCAACGGA
Long non-coding RNA from Oncorhynchus gorbuscha (pink salmon), 224 nucleotides. RefSeq lists it as uncharacterized. The transcript has 3 exons. The record is from RefSeq and is a predicted model, not a curated record. NCBI's taxonomy places the organism in Eukaryota, Metazoa, Chordata, Actinopteri, Salmoniformes, Salmonidae.